GUGGGGCUGAGGGUGACCCCGCGGGCGGGGACCGAGGCAAGGGGGGGGCACGCUGGGCGCGUGGAGUGGGCCCCCCGCGCUGGCCUGAAGGUGCUGGCAGGCCCCGCUGCGUGACCCCAAGGGGACAAGAGGGAUUCCCUCUUCCUCCGCCCCCGAGAAGCCGGGCGGGAGAAAAAUCUCUAGGGUUGCCCGAGUUUCCCUCCUGGAGCCUGGAAGCCUUCCAGUCUAGACGGGGUGAGGAAAAGCCGCUGGCUGGCUACCCAGGAACCGGGGGGAGGGCAUCCUCCUCCGUGCUGGGAAGGAGGCAGGCCCUUUCUUCUCUGGUGGCGCUGCUUGAAGACGGGGCUGCUGGGAGUGCACUCCGUGCAUUCUCAGAGGCAUUUUCUAUGGAGGUUCUGUUUCCAAGAAACACAAGAAGAAGAAAGAAAGAAAAUCUUUGCUAGCUGAAGAUGUUGCUGACAUUCAAUACUCAGAAGAAUUCUUUAUCAAGCCUGAAUCCAGAGUGGCUCAGCUGGACACAUCACAGUG
Hemicordylus capensis (graceful crag lizard) is the source of this 528-nucleotide long non-coding RNA. RefSeq lists it as uncharacterized. The record is from RefSeq and is a predicted model, not a curated record. Lineage: Eukaryota; Metazoa; Chordata; Lepidosauria; Squamata; Cordylidae. The transcript is spliced from 3 exons.